GGCCAGACCUGUGGCAUAUAGAAGUUCUCAGGCUAGGGGUUGAACUGGAGCUACAGAUGCUGCCCUAUGCCACAGCCACAGCAAUGUGGGAUCUGAGUUGCAUCUGAGACCUACAUACCACAGCUCAUGGCAAUGCUAGAUCCUUAACCCACUAAGCGAGGUCAGGGAUCAUACCCACAUCCUCAUGAGUAUCAGUCAGAUUCAUUUCUAUUGUGCUAAAACAGGAAUUCCCAUAUUACCCAUUUUGCAUAGAAGUAGAUGUCCUAAAUAUUUGUUGACUUAAAUUAUUUUAUUUUCCCUUUUUUUCUUUCUUUUUUCUUUCUUUCUCCUUCUUCUUCUUCUUUUUUUUUUUUUUAAUGGCUGCUCCUGUGGUGUAUGGAAGUUCCCAGGCUAAGGGUCAAAUUGCAGCUUCAGCUGUGGUACACACCAAAGCCACAGCAAUGCCAGGUCCAAGCAUCUGUGACCUAUGCUGCAGCUUGCAUCAACACUGGAUCCUUAAUCCACUGAGGGAAACCAGGGAUUGAACCUACAUCCUCAUGGACACUAUGUCAGGUUCUUAACCUACUGAGCCAUAAUGGGAACUCCAACUUGAAUUAUUUUAAUAAUGGUAUAUCAAUCUGGGGGUUUUAUUUUUAUGUAUCAUUGUUUCAAAUAUAUAUAUAUAUAUUCUUCUAGAAAAACCAAAGUAUGUUAUAAAGAUCUUAAAGAUUUUAAAUCAGAUUAGAGCAUAUACCAAGAAAUUGGUAAACUUAAGUUGUUGAAAGACCUAAUUCCAUUGCUUUAGUGAAGAAACUGAGUACCACAGCAUUAAGUGACAAUUAAAAUGUAUCAAUGAUAUUUCCUCAUUAUUUAUAAUAUACUUUAAGCAGUAAGGAAAUUUAUUUCCAGGAUUUCACUAAGUGAUUCAUGAAGUUAGGAGUGAUUUAGAGAACCCAGCUUUGCAGAUAAGCAGAAGCAAAUGGGGAGUAAACAACUGGGGCCAUAGCAAAGGCUACACUGUAGGACCUGUUGGAGCUCAUAGGAGCGCAUAAUGAGACACUGUCUCUCUGGGUGCCACUCACAUCCCUAUUGCAAACACUCCUGCUACUACACCUUGGAUGUCAUUGUCUUGAAUUAAUUUUUACCACAGCGAGUGUGAACUAUUGACUCAUAAUUUGAAAAUCCUUAGUGGAAGAUUGAUUGACUGAGCCUGGAACAUGUCAUCAUUAUCUAACUGCCAGAAAUGGGACAAAGGAUCAACUAUAUAGUAAAAGAGACAAUUGUAGGGCUUUUGUGAAUCUAGGGUUUGCUUCCCACCAAGAUUGACAAAAGGAAAGACUUUAUUCCAGUGAAAAUGAUUUGGAAUAUGGGAAGCCAGAAAUAAUGAAAUUAUGACUAGUACACAACACUGGGUCUCUUGACUUCAACACAUGAGGUCUUCACAUUUGUAAUUAGGAUUUUGAAUGCACAUGGAACAGUGAUUCUAAAAUGUAUUCCACAGAAAAGUAGACCCAAGAGAUAUUCCAUGAAAUUUAAAAGUACUCCAUGGCUAUAGAUGUUUGGGCAACACUGCAUUCUAUAGCUUAUGUUUGAAGUUCCCAAGUGAACAUUUAUAUAUGAUAGGCUCUGAAAAGCCCUGCAGUAAAGAAACUCAUUUAUCUUUGUUAGCAAAGUUCCUCAUAUUUAUUCAAUCACAAGACAUUUUUAUUCAUGUAACACAAUCGUCCCUAGGAUAAUCUUUGAGAAUUACUGGACUAGAAAUGAUCGUUCUGAUGUAAUAGGAGUAAGAAGAAAGCAUUUUGUGGCAGAACUGGCACAGCCAGAAGUUCACAUCCAGGUGCGUAUCUGCCUAAAAUGUGUUAAUGGGCAGGUGGAGAGGAGUGGAGCUGGGUCAAGGUGCAUGGAUUUGGUUUGGCAACACAAUCUAACCUUAGAGGCUCAGACAAUUAUACUAUCUGUUUCUUCCCAAUAGCAUACUUGCAUAAAAAUUUAAAAUAAACUCUGCAUUUUGGCUAUUCGUUAGGCUUAAGCCAUCCCCUUUCUGACAAAAGUGACCAUACUAAUGAUCCACAAACAUGGAUGCAUAUUAGCAUAAUCUGGGGGCAUCUUGUUAAAAAUAUAGAUUGUUUUUCAAGAUUUUUCAGUUUCACUGCUGAGAUAUCUACUAGGAGUCAGGCAUAUAUGGGCACAUGUGCCAGUCUAUUAAUAAAGCCCAAGGAAAGUUUAUGUAGCUGCCCUAUAGAUCAGCAACUUCCCACUGGACACACCUCAGCUUAUCCUCCUCUCUGACUUCUUUUAUCUUCUUCCAAGGUUGCAGGCCACGUUCUUCUGCUCAUGUAAAAUUACUUUUACUAAUUUUUUCCCCAGUAAAAUUUUAUGAGCCAUGACAACCAAAUACUUUAGUAAGAUCCCAGUAUACUGUCUAUGAUGCAUUUUCUUCAUUACUUUGGAAAUGAUAGUUGCAUAGCCAUAAAGUUUAUUGACUAUAACUUUUUGGAGUAAUCCUAUGUAAUAUAUAUCUAAUAAUUCCUCUGUCUUUUGAGGGUUUGUUGAUUUAUUUAUUUCCUUUUUCAUUGUGAUGUAAAAGAAAAAUUCAAGCUACCUUUGGAUUUUGUACAUAGUGAUUUCUUGGAUACUGUUUUAUUUUGGACAAAUCUUAGAUUUUAUCAUUGUUAUUCUAUUUUGCCUUAAUUAAAUAAUCUCCCCAAUUUUAGCAAGAAUGUGAGCUAAUUUUCAUAAUAUUCUUUACACUCUGUUAUAUUUUUUCUUAUUUUUCUUAAUUACUCUCUAUUUCUAGCCAAAUCAACACUUCUAUUGCUUAGAAUAAAAUUAAGUCAAAAUAUUAUUUUAUUUAAAUUUAAAAAAUGAGUUUAUUAUCUCAGACUUUUUCAAGGUUAUGUCUGAGGUAUUAAAAUUGCUCUAUAUUAUAUUAUCACUUACUUUCCAUGCACUCUCUCAUAAGAACAUUUCAGAUCCUACAACAAAAAUACAGUGAUAUAGAGCAGAUAACAUCUCUACAGAAAAAGAUAAGGCUACUGUGGGUUAGGAACAGUAAAUAAAUUUGAGCUCAUACAUAGUCAGAGCAAGAAUUUGGUGCUGCUUAAGUAUAGCUUAGAGUUUUGUCUGAGAUCAUGCCAUGAAUUGGUGCCCCAGGCUAAGUUUACAAAGGAAAGACCCUCUAAUCCAUUGGCAGUAAAAAUUUCUGCUUCAGGAUUACUUUUGUGUGAGAAGGACACUUUCUCAUUCUUAUAAUACCUGAUAUAUAUUAUAGGGAAACAGAAAGAAAACAGACAAAAUGGAAAUAGAGACAUACAUAGUCUAUGAAAAAUAAAUGCUGGAGAUAGUGUGGAGAAAAGGGAACCCUCUUACACUGUUGGUGGAAUGUAAACUGGUGCAACCACUAUGGAAAACAGUAUUGAGUUUUCUCAAAAAACUAAAAUUAGAAUUACCAUAUGAUCCAGCAAUCCCACCCCUGGGCAUCUAUCUGGAGAAAACCAUGACUUGAAAAGAUACAUAUCCCAAUAUUCAUUGCAGCACUAUAUACAAUAUCCAAGACAUGGAAGCAACCCAAAUGUCUACUGACAGAUGAAUGGAUAAAGAAGAUAUUUUGCAUAUAUACAAUGGAAUAUUAUUCAGCCAUAAAAUAAUGAAGUAAUGGCAUUUUCAGCAACAUGGAUGGACCUAGAAAUUAUCAUGCUCAGUGAAAUUAGUCAGACAGUGAGACACAAACAUUAUAUGCUAUCACUUAUAUGUGGAAUCUAAAAAAAAGGAUACAAAUGAACUUAUUUGCAGAACAGAGACUCACAGACUUUGAAAAACUUACGGUAGCCAAAGGGGACAGAUGAGGAGGGAGGGAUGGAUUGAGAGUUUGGAAAUUUUCUAAAACUAGCUUGUGAUGAUGAUUGUACAACUAUAGGUAUAAAAAAUUCAUUGAAUUAAAAAAAAAAGACUUCCAUAAAUUUCCAAUGGAAUAGGACAAACAUCUGAGAUAAUUUUUAGGACUGUUCCAUGGUUGUAAGUGUUAUAGCAGGAAGACAUUAUUUAAUAAAUAUGUUGCACUUUGCUUUUGGAAAUAUCCAAGUGCUAUAGCUUUGAUUCUUAGCAGAGGCUGAGGUGGGGUCUACUUUGCCUACCAGAGUUGUCCUGUGACAAGAAAAAAUGGCUAAGCCUUUACUUCCCUCUUACUCAGCUACCAGAUGUGGGCUUUCCCGGGGCAUCCAUGACCUUGAAUGAGGUUGCUUAGGUCUGCAUUUGAGGAAGACCCUGAAGGUGCUAAGAAUUGGAGGCACCUGACUGCACUUCUUGCAACCUGACAGUCUGUCCUUCCUUGAAGGAAGAUCUGGGAGGCAGAGCAUUUUGCUACUACAUUCCAUCCCUCACACAGCUUAGAUCUGCAUAUACCUUCAGGAAGCAGCUUUAUUUAGACCAGUAAACUUCUGCCCCUUAUGGGAAAUGAAAUAUGUAAGAGAGUUUCAGAGAUACAAUGGGAGUUAUGGUCUCCUUUCUCCACAGUCCAUUCUGGAUUCUCCUUCAUCCUUGGCUACCACCUCUGCUGGCUUCUGUGAUUUAGAGCUUCACAUCAGAGGAGUAUAAGCCCCUGUUCCCAAUAGCCAGGGGCCCCUGAGCUCCAACAUUAGACCAGGGAACUCUAUUUGUUCAUUUACUGUCACAACUGAGCAAAGAAGUACAGAGUUGCAUGAGUAGGUUAUGUGGACUUUACUUAUUUUCUCCCCUGAUUUUUGUAGUAUGUCAGCAACCCUCCCUACUCCUGACAAUCCAGGUUACUUACCCUUGCUAAGACCAUUAUUCUUACUCUAGCCUCUAGUUCCUAGAUACGAGGGGUCUUUAGCGCCUGUUCAGCAAUUGCAGCUUACAAGUCAAUGGUUCUCUUGGUUAGUUCUUCCUGAGAAUGUGUCCCUUUUGAGUAUGAGAACUUCUAACUCUGAGGAACCAAGAAUUGUGGGAACAAGAAGUACAUAGCCUCUUGGUAGACUACUGAGAGUAAUGGUGUGUGGGGUCAUUCCUGCUUCCACGUUUUGGUUUUUGGACCCCCCCCCACCCCGUAUUCUUCCUAUUGAUGAUUCAAUGCCCUAUUGAGAUCUUUGAAUCAGCAUGGUACUGCAUCCUGAGGAAGGCACUGUAUUUGCAGGUAUUG
Molecule: long non-coding RNA, 5134 nt
Filed under: Sus scrofa (pig)
Lineage: Eukaryota; Metazoa; Chordata; Mammalia; Artiodactyla; Suidae
Description: lncRNA (ENSSSCG00000058336.1)
Source: RNAcentral